GUGGGGAAUUUUGGACAAUGGGCGAAAGCCUGAUCCAGCAAUGCCGCGUGCAGGAUGAAGGCCCUCGGGUUGUAAACUGCUUUUGUACGGAACGAAAAGCCUGGGGCUAAUAUCCCCGGGUCAUGACGGUACCGUAAGAAUAAGCACCGGCUAACUACGUGCCAGCAGCCGCGGUAAUACGUAGGGUGCAAGCGUUAAUCGGAAUUACUGGGCGUAAAGCGUGCGCAGGCGGUUUUGUAAGACAGUGGUGAAAUCCCCGGGCUCAACCUGGGAACUGCCAUUGUGACUGCAAGGCUAGAGUGCGGCAGAGGGGGAUGGAAUUCCGCGUGUAGCAGUGAAAUGCGUAGAGAUGCGGAGGAACACCGAUGGCGAAGGCAGCCUCCUGGGAUAACACUGACGCUCAGGCACGAAAGCGUGGGGAGCAAACAGGAUUAGAAACCCUGGUAGUCC
This 450-nucleotide ribosomal RNA is filed under the name uncultured bacterium. RNAcentral describes it as "bacterial SSU rRNA". It matches the Rfam family "Bacterial small subunit ribosomal RNA", at positions 354 to 796 of the family's 1533-position model. The record is from RNAcentral.